This 581-nucleotide ribosomal RNA is filed under the name uncultured bacterium. Its description in RNAcentral is "partial 16S ribosomal RNA". It matches the Rfam family "Bacterial small subunit ribosomal RNA", at positions 355 to 925 of the family's 1533-position model. The record is from RNAcentral.
UGGGGAAUUUUGGACAAUGGGGGAAACCCUGAUCCAGCCAUCCCGCGUGUGCGAUGAAGGCCUUCGGGUUGUAAAGCACUUUUGGCAGGAAAGAAACGUCGCGGGUUAAUACCCCGCGAAACUGACGGUACCUGCAGAAUAAGCACCGGCUAACUACGUGCCAGCAGCCGCGGUAAUACGUAGGGUGCAAGCGUUAAUCGGAAUUACUGGGCGUAAAGCGUGCGCAGGCGGUUCGGAAAGAAAGAUGUGAAAUCCCAGAGCUUAACUUUGGAACUGCAUUUUUAACUACCGGGCUAGAGUGUGUCAGAGGGAGGUGGAAUUCCGCGUGUAGCAGUGAAAUGCGUAGAUAUGCGGAGGAACACCGAUGGCGAAGGCAGCCUCCCGGGAUAACACUGACGCUCAUGCACGAAAAGCGUGGGGAGCAAAACAGGAUUAGAUACCCCUGGUAGUCCACGCCCUAAACGAUGUCAACUAGCUGUUGGGGGCCUUCGGGCCUUGGUAGCGCAGCUAACGCGUGAAGUUGACCGCCUGGGGAGUACGGUCGCAAGAUUAAAACUCAAAGGAAUUGACGGGGUCAUAGC